This 330-nucleotide ribosomal RNA is filed under the name Triticum aestivum (bread wheat). RNAcentral's name for it is "partial small subunit ribosomal RNA". The record is from RNAcentral. Lineage: Eukaryota; Viridiplantae; Streptophyta; Magnoliopsida; Poales; Poaceae.
AUGAUGUGCGGUUUCAGUACUACUAGGUGUGAGGAGGAGGAGGUUAGCCUUGAUGGGCAGGUGGUGCCUCAGAAGGACACCUUUCGAUAUUUGGGGUCAAUGCUGCAGGAGGAUGGGGGUAUUGAUGAAGAUGUGAACCAUCGAAUCAAAGCCGGAUGGAUGAAGUGGCGCCAAGCUUCUGGCAUUCUUUGUGAUAAGAGAGUGCAACAAAAGCUAAAAGGCAAGUUCUACAAGACAGUGGUUCAACCCGCAAUGUUGUAUGGCGCUGAGUGUUGGCCGACUAAAAGGCGACAUGUUCAACAGUUAGGCGUGCGGAGAUGCGUAUGUUGA